CAACAGCUCAGGCCAUCCUGAAGAAAGAGAUAGCAAUUCCACCACAGCUCUUCCUGAUAUUCCUCACAAUCUCUGCCCUGUUCCAUGCCCCUGCUGAUGAAUCUGAAUACCUGCAUCUGGCUACUCCUGGACCCACUUUCUAUUGUGAAGUUGACUGUACCACUCAGGUAUGUGAUCCCAUUUGGCAGGUGGGAGUGGGGAACUUGGAAUCACAGUACAGUGGAUUCUAAGCCAUCUGGAGAGAGCUCCUCCAAAAAACACUGUGGUCACAGUUGACGCUCAGCACAGGAAAGCUGAGGCCACGUCCUGAGGGAACCCUGCACAACUUUCACCCCUGAGGUUCUCCAACCCAGCUCAGCACAGGCAAUAUAAGUGCUCUGAACAUCAGGCUGACCGAGAUGUUCACAAUGUGGACAAUGCCCACAGACACCUGGCAGAGAGGGAAUUUUUUGAAACAGUUAACUACUGGGAGAAGGACUGAGACAGCACUGGACACAGUGGGAGUGCUUGGAAAACAGGCCCUCAGGCUAUGAGCUAUCUGAUCCAGCUCAGUAGUUGACAAAAAAACCCCAAGGCACUGGGCUGACCAGGCACCCACAGAUCACAAGCCUUCCAACCCACUAUUGCAUAGUACCAUUGAGUCCUAAGAACAUCAGGCAUGCCAGGAGCCUCCCUACCAUGAAUACUGCAUCCUACCUCAAUUUUGGACAAAAGAGUCAUUUGGACACCAAGAUGACCAGAGGCCCUCCAACCAAGAGCCCGUAAUCCAGGAGAGAGGGCAAUUGAUUCCCCAAGACACUGGCCUUGACAGGAGCUUUCAGAGCACAAGCAUUCUAGUUGAGCAGAGCACAGGGAAAUCUAGUCUCCAGAAUAGAGAGCCUGUCAAGAGACAUCAGACCAUGAUUCCUCCAACCCAGCUCUGCACUAGGCCAAGGGGUCACCUGGACAUUAGGCUCACCAAGUACCCUUUGACCUGGAGCCCUCCAACAGAGCAGGGCAUAGGACAGUCAAGUCUCCAGAACACCAGGCUUGCCAGGAGCCUUCAGACCAUGAUCCAUUUAAUCCAGCUCUGUACUAGGCCAAGUAGUGAUCUAUAAAGUGGGCUUACCACUUGCCCUUGUACCUGGAGGGCUCUAAACCAGCUCAGCAUUAGGGUAAGGAGUGUCCUGGACAUUUGGUUCACCAUGUGUUUUUGGAUCUGGAUCCCUAUAACAGAGCAGAGCAGAGGGCAAUCAAAUCUCCAGAACGUUGGGCUUGCCAAGAACCAUAAGACCAUGAUUCCUCCCACCAAGCUCAGCACUAGGCCAAGGAGUCACCUGGACCAUGAGUUUACCAUGUGCCCUUUGACCUGGAGACCUCCAGCAAAGAAAAUUGAAAGGCAAUCAAGUCUUCAGAACCUCAGGUUUGCCCAGAGCCUUCAGACAACAAGCCAUCCAAACCAGCUCUGUACCAGACCACGUGGGCUCAGCACUUGCCCUUGGACCUGGACGACUCCAAAACAAGCUCAGCACUAGUCCAGGGAGUCACCUGGACAGUUGGCGCACCAUGUGUCCUUGGAUCUUGAGCCCUACAGUAGAUAAGAACACAGGGCAAUAAAGUCUCCAGAACACUGGUCUUGCCAAAAGCCUUCAGGCCAUGAGCCCUCCAAUACAGCUCUACACUUGGCCUAGGAGUCACCUGGAGAGUGGGCUCAAUAUGUGCCCUUGGUCCUGGAGACCACCUACCCAGCAGAGCAAAGGCAAUCAAGUCUCCAGAACCCUAUGCUUUCCAGGAGCAUACAUACCAGAAACCAUCCAAUCCAGCUCUGCCUUAAGUCAAGGAGUCAUGUGGACAGCAGACUCAUUAUGUGCCCUUGAAUCUGGAGCCUUCCAAGCCAUCAAAGAAUAGAGAAAUCAAGUCUCCAGAGCACUGGGCUUUCCAGGACCCUUCAGACUAUGAGUCUUCCAACCCAGCUCUUCACUAAGCCAAGAUGUCACCUAGACAGUGGACUCACCACAUGCCCUUGGACCUGGAGGGCUCCAAACCAGAUCAGCACUAGGCCAAGGAGUCACCUCAGCAACAGGCUCACUAUGUACACUUUUACCUGGAGCCUUCUAAUCAAGCAAAGUCAAGGGCAAUUGAUCACUAGGCUUCCUAGUUGGCCUCAGGAUAUGAGACCUCUAAACCAGCUCAGCACUGUACCCACAUGUCCACUGGACCCAUGGCUAAAUGAGAGCCUUUAAACCAUGAACUUUCUAUCUCAGCUUAGCACUGGGCAAAAACAUCACUAGGACAGUGAAGUGACCCAGACUUCUCUGAUUGGGAGCUCUCCAACCCAGCAGAGAAGUGGGCAAUCAAAUUCCCAGAACAUCAGGCCUACUGGGAACCCUGUGACCUCAAGCCCUCUAUUCCAUCUUGACACUGUGCCCCUGAGUCCCCUGGACACUGUGCCUACCAGGAGACCCUGUGACCACAAUCCCUGCAUACCAUCAAAGCACAGAAAAGUUGAGUCCCUUCUCAUCUGGGACUGACUUCAGCCUGAGGUCCUUGACGUCUGUCACCUGUACAACCUUCCUGCUUCGGGGAGUUCUCCUCCUCAUAAGAAAAUAAUAUCAGGCCCUAACAAUGAGACUUUGUAUUAAAUUGAAGACUUUGUAUUUGAAGACUUUGUAUUAAAUUUCAAGACAGGACAUGAGGAGAGGGGCUUGGAGGAAGUUGCAGAGGAUACCCAGGCCCUGAGCCCAGAGGAGUUACCAUCCGAGAUCUUCCAGAUAAGGGGAAGGUUCUCCCAAGUGGAGAGAAAGGUGGAGGCCUUAGAAGAACAGGCCCAGCAGUUGGGUGAGAUGGAGGAUCAGCUGCAUGAGGUGGAGAGAUUCUUGUGCUCACAAAGGACUUCCUGGAAGCUUUGGCUUUCAAGGCAAUUUACACGGGGCGAAGUCCACCACUAACUCACAUGAGAUGGAAUAAAAGGGGGGCUGGAAAAAGUGUAUUCAUUUCUAGGAGUGGGAGCAUGGCAUGAGUUUACAAUUUACAUGAGUGUUAAAUAAAUAAAAUGAUCAUUUCAGAAUUA
This is a long non-coding RNA of Neofelis nebulosa (Clouded leopard), 3049 nucleotides long. RefSeq lists it as uncharacterized. The transcript has 2 exons. NCBI's taxonomy places the organism in Eukaryota, Metazoa, Chordata, Mammalia, Carnivora, Felidae. The record is from RefSeq and is a predicted model, not a curated record.